Molecule: long non-coding RNA, 689 nt
Filed under: Sinocyclocheilus anshuiensis
Lineage: Eukaryota; Metazoa; Chordata; Actinopteri; Cypriniformes; Cyprinidae
Description: lncRNA (ENSSANG00000039108.1)
Source: RNAcentral
GUGAAGAUGGAAGUCCAGGGAGAAAUAUGUUGGAUGCACCUCCAUCCAGAUCAGGAAUUCUUCUGAAAGACCCAAUGCUUGGAGCUUUUCCGGCUGCAUGGAAAAAGCGUUUUACUUUCAGCCCUACGCUACCAAAAACACCAGUACUGCCUUUGCGUCCACCUCUUCGGGAAGCAGGCAGCCUGACCCUCAACCCAUCUCUGCUCAUAUCACCUUCUCAAGGCCUGAGCCGUUCUCUCCAUCCAGAAGGACGAGAGGCACUACAAACAUUAUUCGAGGACGUGUGGGUCACCCCAGAAUCUACCGUCUUAAAAAGUCCCAGUUUGCCAGGCAGCUUUGCAGAUGGAUCAAUUGUCAUGAGUGCUGGAAGUAGCAGCAAUCUGUCCUUCAAGAGUGAGGAAGAGAACAAUAGCUCUGAAGAUGAGACCCCAAAACAACUCGUUCCUCGGAAGAGAGCAAGAAAAGUCUGUUCACACAGGCACACUUCAAGAAGAGGACGUGUUACAACACAGCCAAACCCUAAGAAGAAAUGUGUGAACGGCUUCAUUAUGUUCUGCCGAAUUAACAGAAAAUUAUAUAUCAGAUCCUAUCCUGGCAUCCCGUCCACUACGGUCACCAAAGAGUUAGCCAAUCUAUGGCACAUCUUGCCCAAGAAGGAGAGGCGUUUGUACUGGUAGGAAUUCUCCAAA